Molecule: long non-coding RNA, 1605 nt
Organism: Ficedula albicollis (Collared flycatcher)
Lineage: Eukaryota; Metazoa; Chordata; Aves; Passeriformes; Muscicapidae
Source: Ensembl
AUGGAUGAAAAUAAACGCCUCUGGCCGAAAUGCUCGGGCUGCACCAGGCCUGGAUCCGGGCAGAGCAGUGGAGAAAUGGGCCUCGCUGCAAAUGCAGCAGGCCUGGAUCCGGGUGCAGUGCAGAGGGGAAAGGGGCCUCGCUGCAAAUGCACCAGGCCUGGAUCCGGGUGCAGUGCAGAGGGAAAAGGGGCCUCGCUCCAAAUGCACCAGGCCUGGAUCCGGGUGCAGUGCAGAGGGGAAAGGGGCCUCUGCGCAGUUUCCAGUGUAACGGUCAGAGCAUUCAGGCAUGUGCAGACAUGCCAGUCCUGGCCUGCGCUUUUUUUUUGUUUUUGUUUGUUGUUUGUUUUAACAGCUGCUAAUAAUUAUAUUAUCCUGCUACAGAAGUACUUCUGGGAAAUGGGGAUCUUUGAAAGCACAGAAGUGAUAGGAGGAAGAUGCUGCUUCCCUCCCCCCACUCCCCUUCACCAUGCUAGUGUUCAGAUACAAACAGCAUUCCUGCCUCAUUCCCCUCUGAAGUUAAAAAGACUUAAAUUCUUUACAAGGAAGGUCAUCCUUUCGUAGCCAAAACCUUGUUUGCUUUUGCCUUUCCACUUGCUUUCAAAUGAAACAAAAAACAACCCUGAGAGUCCGCAGCAGCCCACUUCUCCAACUCAGAAAUUAAGCAUAACAAGCUCAGGGGAGGGCGGGGGGAAAGACUGUGUUUCAGUUUAUUGAUGUGUGUGUGUGUGUGUGUGUGUGCUCAGCACAGUGCACUUCCCAGCAGCUCUUCCACAAAUGCUGUGCAGAGUGUUCCCAACGUGACCCGAUGGUGAGUUAGAAAGCGCUGGGCACUCGGGCAGCAGUCACACAGUGUUCGGGACCUCGGUGUGCUCACUCAAAGGAACACUGUCAACUGCCUUUAAUAGUGUUAAAUAUAAUUUAUCGAUUCUCCAUUGUUUGUAAUAAUAACCUCCCUGAAGCUUGAGAAUAAUGUUUUCUUUUCCCCUGCAGAUUUUGUCCUGUCAAACAUUUUUUUUUCCGUGGUGUUGCUAAUAGACCUUGAAAUUAACAUCACAUUUAUGUUUAGGAUCUAUACCACGAUUGUUUGUGCUGGUGCGCUGCACUCAUCCAUCAGCAGAGCAAAAUAGGAGAAGGAAGCUGCAUCUGAGCCCCUUACCACCCUGGGAAAAAAUGGGUCAAAGUCUGCCCUUAGACAUAGCACAGAACUCUCAUUAAGGUCAGGAGGAGGCUGGCUGCAUAUGUGUCACUGAGGCAGAAUUUGGUUCGGUGCUUACUAGCCAACUGGCGAAGCUAGAGGGUGCAUAAAAUGUUGGGGGCUGUCCACUUAAGCGUUGGCUGUUGGGGAUUUUGUUACCAUUCUGUGACAUCAGGUAUGUUUAACAUGAAGAAAGGUAUCUCUAAUUACCUAUGAAAUUAAAAUAAGCCUUAAAGCAAAUUAAAUUGGGGGCUAAACCCUUUGAACAGUCACCUAAGAAAAAUUACCAAGCUCCAAGUAAAAUUGGAAGACUGGGUUUGUCAGACUUGUUUGUGUUUAGCAAAAUGGCAAUUAUUCCACUUUAUAUUAGCAAUUAGCAUUUGAAGAAUUUAUAAUUUAUUUUUAACAUU